Molecule: long non-coding RNA, 824 nt
Filed under: Homo sapiens (human)
Lineage: Eukaryota; Metazoa; Chordata; Mammalia; Primates; Hominidae
Description: HSALNT0112435
Source: RNAcentral
CUAAAAACAAAGACUGGUGGAGGUAAUCAAAGACACAGAUGAAAGGAGAGGGAAUGUAUCAUGAAGUUAAAACUGGAGUGAGAACACCCUACCCAUACUUCCCAGUUAGCAAGCCUAGCUUUUAUCUUAUGAAGAAAAUGCCAACUGCUAAAAGGCAAAAAGACACAUUACACUUUUUCACAUGUGAGCAGAUAGAAGUAGAAAUGAGUAGGCCUAUUAUUUCCAGAAGGAUCUGUGUGUUUUAAUUCUGAAUACCAUUAAAAAUAGAAAACAGAUAUUUUAUACCAUUUUUCCUGUUUACAGCAGCAUUUAUGUCCAAAAGUUUGUCCUUCUUGAAUCUUAUAUUCAUUGUCUUUAAUGAUGCAGAAUGUUUUCCUUUUUGGCUGUACAUGUACUCUGUUUUUCAUUUUUGAGCAUGUGGAAAUCUAAGACUGUCUUCACCAUAAAGAGAAGGUGCCUUUUUUUCAUUCCUUUUACUAUCUGUGCUGGAAUUUUCCUCUACUCUUAACCACUUGAAGUACUAAUUGAUGUGUAAAGUGUCUAACCCCAUUUCUGGAAUACAGCUUCUUGUGUAUACUAAGUAAGCCUCUUUGUAUGAUAUGGCACCUCCUUAACUUCUCCCUGGUAUGAAUAGAUUGUUUUUUCCAUAAGAGUUUUAAGCAGUCUGAAUUUGCUAUUUUAUGUUUUAUAAUGUGCUUACUAGAAGGAACAGUAAAAUUACCACCCCUAACUACACUAUUCAACUCCUGUAACUUUUACCAUUUGACUUGAGUCUUCAUCCACAUGAAAGGACUGAGAAUUGCAGUCCUAAAAAAGUUAAUGAA